CCUACGGGAGGCAGCAGUGAGGAAUAUUGGUCAAUGGACGAGAGUCUGAACCAGCCAAGUAGCGUGAAGGAUGACUGCCCUAUGGGUUGUAAACUUCUUUUAUAUGGGAAUAAAAUGUUCCACGUGUGGGAUUUUGUAUGUACCAUAUGAAUAAGGAUCGGCUAACUCCGUGCCAGCAGCCGCGGUAAUACGGAGGAUCCGAGCGUUAUCCGGAUUUAUUGGGUUUAAAGGGAGCGUAGGUGGAUUGUUAAGUCAGUUGUGAAAGUUUGUGGCUCAACCGUAAAAUUGCAGUUGAAACUGGCAGUCUUGAGUACAGUAGAGGUGGGCGGAAUGCGUGGUGUAGCGGUGAAAUGCUUAGAUAUCACGAAGAACUCCGAUUGCGAAGGCAGUUCACUGGACUGCAACUGACACUGAGGCUCGAAAGUGUGGGUAUCAAACAGGAUUAGAUACCCCAGUAGUC
RNAcentral lists this ribosomal RNA (460 nucleotides) under uncultured bacterium. RNAcentral describes it as "partial 16S ribosomal RNA". It matches the Rfam family "Bacterial small subunit ribosomal RNA", at positions 338 to 795 of the family's 1533-position model. The record is from RNAcentral.